This is a long non-coding RNA of Apis laboriosa (Himalayan honeybee), 1927 nucleotides long. RefSeq lists it as uncharacterized. The record is from RefSeq and is a predicted model, not a curated record. Lineage: Eukaryota; Metazoa; Arthropoda; Insecta; Hymenoptera; Apidae. The transcript has 2 exons.
UUAAUGUUAAUUAAUGUUAUUACAUAUGUUAAUCAUUCGAUUAUGUUAUCCUCGAGUGUUAGACUGGGACGUGCAAUGUUGCGACGGUUCAAGAUCAAUAUUUAUCUCCAAGUAUAAUUAAAUUGUUAAAAAAAAUUGUAUUUUUUGUAAGCGGGGAACAUUUUUUGUCUAAAUGUUGAAUACACGAGAAAUGUUAUAAAUUAUCAAUUUUAAAUUGGCAUAUUUUUAUCAAUGUUAGUAGCUAAUCCUAAAUUUAUAUAGAAGAUUUAUAAUUAAAAGUAUUAACAAUUAAUACGAAAAAUUCAUUCGCAUAUUUAAAAAACAUAAUAAGUAUUAAUUAUCUGAAUUUGAUUUGGCCAAUUGUUUGUGUUGUGUAAACACAAAAAAAAUAUGUAAAUCAAAUAAUUGUUCAUGAAGUCAUAUCAUAUGCAGUAUUUUAAUCAAACUAUAGUAAAAAUCUAGAUAACGUGUGCCUGUUGCCUUAUAAAGAGCAUAUAUAAAUUAUUUUAGCAACACAAUGUCCCAUAAUAGUCGCGAGUGUUCUAAAAUAUUUCACAAAGUUAUUAGGGGAUCGUUCACUAAAACAUAAAUUUAUCACUUAAUAUAGUAUAUAUUUUAAAUAUUCCAAUUUUAUUCAAUAAAAUCAUUAUUUUAGUGAAAUUUUUCUUUCCUAAUGAUUUCUAUAAUAUAUACGUAUAUAAUCCCCUAAUUACUUCAAUUAAUAUUCACUUUCACUAAGUAUAGUAAAGAAAUUUUCGUUUAAAAUAAUAAAAAAAAAAUUGUAGAUCUAAGAUUUAAUUGUGAUGUUAAGGUUAUGUUUUCAGCUACUACUGAAAUAUUUUCACGAAACGAAUUAAUGUUAUAUCUAAUGCCUAAUUAAUACCUAAAAAGAUAUAUGUUGCAACACAACUGAGUCCAUGGAUAUUCCCCGUAAAUAUAAUCGUUAUACGUAGAUUUCUUCGUGUUCCAAAAUCAAAACGUGCCUGGUAUAAUCGUUGACGAAUUACUAUUAUAUAGUUAGAAUAGCAACAAAGUAUACCGGUGGAAAAAGAACGAGAAGUAGGGGAAAAAAGAGAGAGAAAAAGACAAUUUCUUUUCUACAGUGGACUCUUCAGUUUGUGGUUAUCGGCGAGAGGCACACAGAACUGAACGCUAUUGCGCGAAACAAUUUCCUCCGUUUCUUACUACGAUUCUGUUUCACGCAUAGUUCCGGCCGUUUCCCCGCGUGCUUUUAUUUUAUUCGAGAAUAAAAGAAAAAAGAAGAAAAUAUAAGAACCGUGCGUGUUAAAUAUAUACGUGUGAAAAUUGUACGAAGAAAAAAAAUUAUAAAAAUGCUACUCGGAACAUGAAAAAAAAAAAGAAACAAGAAGAGGUUAGAAUGGAAACUUGUGAACGUAAUGAAAAUAUAAUUAAUAUGUAAAAAGAAUGAUGAUGUUCUCUUUGUCGAAUGAAGAAAAAAAGAAUAUGAAAUGUAAACGGAGUAUGUAUAAAAUGUAUUUUAAGUCUGGAUAAAAAAAAUCAAUUUACACUUACAAUUUACAGUAACGAGUAACAAUAACUGAUGUGGGUUGUGCAUAAGAAAAGAAAACAAAAACAAAAAGAAAAAAAAAUGAAAAGCGUAUAUAUACAGUAAACAUGGCGAUUCGUGAUAAUGGAGAAUCGGAUCGACUCAAUGAUCAAAUUGCGCACGUGCUGCGUGUAGAAAACAAGUUUUCGUCCCAGUGCGGAUUCACUUCUUUCCUGACUGUUCUUUUUUAUUUUGUUUUGUCAUUCUGCUUAUAUAAUUAAAUUAUGUGAUUCUCACUUCAGUUAAUCGUAUUCCAUUGUUUCUGAUAAACUUGCAUAACAUUGUUUUAAAAUUUAUUCAUUUUUUAUUGAAUUUUUUGUUAAAAUUCAGUAAAAAUAAAAUUAAACAUAAUAGAAAAAA